AUGCUACCUGGGAGCCAACAGGAACGAGGGACUGUCACUUUUCAGAGCACACACAUUUCUUCCGGGACCCAAUCUCCCAGCGUAGCCACCUGCACUUCCGCAGGGUCCCUGCCUUCGUGGGGAGAGAGGGCGCGACCUUGGUUCACUGCCCUUUGCAAACCCAUGCAGGGCAGGCUGCAUCAGGGAGGGAACAAGGGACAAGGGGACAGGCGAGGCAGAGAACAAAAUCCACCAGGGAAGGUGUGCACUCGUGUUUGUGUGUGUGUGCUGGCGAGGGCAGACUCACGCAUGUGCACCACGUGUACACAGACACGCACAUACACACGCGUGUGCACACACAUGGUUCUUGGCUGCCAUCUCCGUGUACAUUCUCGGGGCUCUGGAUGGACUUUCUCUGGGCAGGGGCCAUGCCCCCAGCCCUGGCCCUCCUGCCCUGUGGCCAGGGCUGUUCAGAAAGUGGGCACUGUUGGAUUCUUUCUCACGCUGGGUCCUCCAGGCCGCUGUCUGCGAUCUUUAGUCCAUGGAAGGAUCUGUUCCCCACAGUUCACGUCCAAGUCAGCCUCUUGGAUCAGGCAGUACAUCUACCCCUGGAACCGUGAUUGGAGAUGUAAUACGGAGGACCGGCUAAAGCACAGACCACUCAGCUGGCUGGCUUCGGCGAGCAAUCGCACUGGUCUGCUUCCUCGUCCGCCAAGGGAGGAAUCCAAAUACCCACCAGGAUCAAACGCAUCCAGAAACUUGAGCACGUGUCAGGUCUCCAGCACACAGGUGCCCCGUGGACAGCCAAGGGAGCUAUGGAUAGCACUGCUAACGUCCCUGGGGUCACAGCUCAUGGUGGCUGGAAUUGCAGGCUGGCUCCCACGGCCCCAGCCAUACCCAAUUCAGCCGACACAAUUCUGUCCAUACCUGUGGCUACCAGUGACCGUGACAUCACCUCCAUGGGGAAUGGCCCUGUGUUCUACAUCCUCUCCUGGGACCCUGCAACUGCUCCCACCUCCCCACAGGGUGGCCCGGGAGAAGGCUGGGAGUGAGGGGUUGGACCCUGGGAAACACCACCGUCAAUGCCACUUCAAGGUGAAAAGGCUUCUCCUUGGACAGCGGAUGCCGAGGGUCACCUGUGAGGUAGCCGGAGGUGGCCGACUUCGCGCCCUGCAAUCCUGA
RNAcentral lists this long non-coding RNA (1161 nucleotides) under Oryctolagus cuniculus (rabbit). RNAcentral's name for it is "lncRNA (ENSOCUG00000030205.1)". The record is from RNAcentral. Lineage: Eukaryota; Metazoa; Chordata; Mammalia; Lagomorpha; Leporidae.